GUGGCGAGAGGAGGCGGAGAGCCACAGCCCCAGGCGGGAACAGCUGUCAGCGUGUGGGGCUCCCGGGGGACCCGAGCCCCUGGACGUGGGUCCUGUGGAUCUGCCAGGAUGCAGAUGCAGGGGCUCAGCACAGCCCAUGACAUCAGAGUCCACGGCCCUGGCGGGCAGCCCUGGGGCGCUUUUACUGCUUCCCCGGGACUUUCCAAACGUCUGCACCUUCUGUUGUGGAGCACAUGUGGGAUCAACAGGGUCGGCUCCACGGGGAGGCGGCUCCCGUAACCUGCCAGGCCUUCCUGCUCCGUGUUUGUUCUGCACCUGGUCCAGGCAGAUGCUUCGGGUCACCACGCCCCAGGCUCUCCCCUCAGCGCCCGCCCGGUCCCUGAAGCCUGCUCCCCAACCCACCCGCGACCGCAGGCUGGCCUCCCUGGGGCGGCUGCAACCGAGCUGCGUGCUCAGCACACGGGUGCACCGCGGGGAGGGAGCCGCUCUCGUCGGCAGGAGACCCCUGCCCGGCCCAGGCCACACAGGGCACUCAGCCCACGGUGGUGCCCACACGGCAGGGGAUGCUGGCCCUUCCUACCUGCAGCCUGGCCGGGCAGCAAGGGAGCCAAGAGCUCUCCCAGCACAUCCGGAGUGAACUGGUCACCUCGUCCGGCUGCCAGCCCUGGGGGGACCCCGGAUCCCUGUGCCCCUGUGCAGCCCCCACCCCAGGGCUUCCUUCCCUGCUCCGUGCUUCUGGGACCUCGGAGGGACAGGGAAGAGGGUGGGAGGCCAAGGGGAAGGGGUUGGGUGUCGUUCCCAGCCAAAGUGACACAAUGCCAGAGGCAGGUGCCAUCGGAGUCAGGUGCCACCGAGGUGCAGGGAGAACCACGAGUCCCCACCAGGCCCUGGGUGGACGCCUCUCCAGAUGCUGCUCUUGCUGGUGCUCCUGUUGUUCGUCCUGGGAGACGGGGGUGAGUCCCCAGAUCACAGUGUCCGGCUGCCAGCGACCCCGACCUCCAACCCUGGGGGCCCAGGCCACGACUCCUGGUGGGCUCCUUGCCUCGCGGCUCUGCCCCGGGGACGGGGCAGGUGGGGUGGGUGUGGGGGUCACACUCCACCCAAGCUGUCCUCGGAGCUCCACAGCCCGGGCCCCCUGGUCUGUGUGAGAACUGUUGCGCUCACGUGCCCUUCUGUGACCUUCAACGCUCUGAGGGCUCUCCUGGCAGCAGCUCCCCCGCGGGACAGAGGAGGAUGUUGGGAGGCACAGGAUGGAAACUGAGGCUUCUUGGUGCCCCCUCGUGCCCCAACCUGCCAGAACCACAUGCAGGGCCUCCCCUGCUUCCAAAUAACAGCCGUGGGAACGUCCACCUCCUUCUCCACCCGGGCCCCCAGCCACUCUCGGGGCCCCUGACGUCCAGAUGCCCUGAAAUUAAGGGGAAAACUCAGCUCCCAUGGCCAGGGCACACUUCACGUGGCCAGGCCCCGAUCCCACUGGACGGCAGAGAGGGUGCACGCCGACCACUGUGGGGCGUCCCGGGCAGUGCCGUGGGCUGUGCCGUCUGAGCGGGGGUGGGAGGGGACCCCACCUCUGCAGCCCGACCUGGGCCCCGAUCGCCCAGGGGGAGGCCGGCCCGGUGACCCCCUUUCCCUCCGGCAGCGAGAGGCUUCA
Long non-coding RNA from Canis lupus familiaris (dog), 1651 nucleotides. RefSeq lists it as uncharacterized. The record is from RefSeq and is a predicted model, not a curated record. Lineage: Eukaryota; Metazoa; Chordata; Mammalia; Carnivora; Canidae. The transcript is spliced from 3 exons.